UACGUAGGGGGCUAGCGUUGUCCGGAAUCAUUGGGCGUAAAGAGCGCGUAGGCGGCCCGGUAAGUCCGCUGUGAAAGUCCAGGGCUCAACCCUGGAAUGCCAGUGGAAACUGUCGGGCUAGAGUACGGAAGAGGCGAGUGGAAUUCCUGGUGUAGCGGUGGAAUGCGCAGAUAUCAGGAGGAACACCAAUAGCGAAGGCAGCUCGCUGGGACGUUACUGACACUGAGGCGCGAAAGCGUGGGGAGCAAACAGG
Molecule: ribosomal RNA, 253 nt
Filed under: uncultured bacterium
Lineage: Bacteria
Description: partial 16S ribosomal RNA
Rfam family: Bacterial small subunit ribosomal RNA
Source: RNAcentral